RNAcentral lists this ribosomal RNA (457 nucleotides) under uncultured bacterium. RNAcentral describes it as "bacterial SSU rRNA". It matches the Rfam family "Bacterial small subunit ribosomal RNA", at positions 34 to 507 of the family's 1533-position model. The record is from RNAcentral.
CGCUGGCGGCGUGCUUAACACAUGCAAGUCGAACGGUAAGGCCCUUCGGGGUACACGAGUGGCGAACGGGUGAGUAACACGUGGGUGAUCUGCCCUGCACUUCGGGAUAAGCCUGGGAAACUGGGUCUAAUACCGGAUAGGACUCCUGGCUUCAUGGUUGGGGGUGUAAAGCUUUUGCGGUGUGGGAUGGGCCCGCGGCCUAUCAGCUUGUUGGUGGGGGUAAUGGCCUACCAAGGCGACGACGGGUAGCCGGCCUGAGAGGGUGACCGGCCACACUGGGACUGAGAUACGGCCCAGACUCCUACGGGAGGCAGCAAUGGGGAAUAUUGCACAAUGGGCGCAAGCCUGAUGCAGCGACGCCGCGUGAGGGAUGACGGCCUUCGGGUUGUAAACCUCUUUCAAUAGGGACGAAGCGCAAGUGACGGUACCUAUAGAAGAAGGACCGGCCAACUACGUG